RNAcentral lists this ribosomal RNA (457 nucleotides) under uncultured bacterium. RNAcentral's name for it is "SSU rRNA". It matches the Rfam family "Bacterial small subunit ribosomal RNA", at positions 26 to 518 of the family's 1533-position model. The record is from RNAcentral.
AGAACGAACGCUGGCGGCAGGCUUAACACAUGCAAGUCGAGCGCGCCCUUCGGGGUGAGCGGCGAACGGGUGAGUAACGCGUGGAACGUGCCCUUCUUCGGAAUAGCCUCGGGAAACUGGGAGUAAUGCCGAAUACGCCCAUUUGGAGUGAUCCAUUUGGGGAAAGAUUUAUCGGAGAGGGAUCGGCCCGCGUUGGAUUAGGUAGUUGGUGGGGUAAUGGCCUACCAAGCCGACGAUCCAUAGCUGGUUUGAGAGGAUGAUCAGCCACACUGGGACUGAGACACGGCCCAGACUCCUACGGGAGGCAGCAGUGGGGAAUCUUGGACAAUGGGGGCAACCCUGAUCCAGCCAUGCCGCGUGAUCGAUGAAGGCCUUAGGGUUGUAAAGAUCUUUCAGCUGGGAAGAUAAUGACGGUACCAGCAGAAGAAGCCCCGGCUAACUCCGUGCCAGCAGCCGC